GAUGAACGCUGGCGGCGUGCUUAACACAUGCAAGUCGAACGGGGGAUGUACAGCGGGAAGAUUUCGGUCGGACCAAGUGCAUGCCUAGUGGCGGACGGGUGAGUAACGCGUGGGUAACCUGCCUUACACAGGGGGAUAACACUUAGAAAUAGGUGCUAAUACCGCAUGAGCGCACAGGACCGCAUGGUCGAGUGUGAAAAACUGAGGUGGUGUAAGAUGGACCCGCGUCUGAUUAGCUAGUUGGUGAGGUAACGGCCCACCAAGGCGACGAUCAGUAGCCGGCCUGAGAGGGUGGACGGCCACAUUGGGACUGAGACACGGCCCAA
This 326-nucleotide ribosomal RNA is filed under the name uncultured bacterium. RNAcentral describes it as "bacterial SSU rRNA". It matches the Rfam family "Bacterial small subunit ribosomal RNA", at positions 28 to 334 of the family's 1533-position model. The record is from RNAcentral.